This 467-nucleotide ribosomal RNA is filed under the name Lysobacter sp. S67. RNAcentral's name for it is "bacterial SSU rRNA". It matches the Rfam family "Bacterial small subunit ribosomal RNA", at positions 29 to 484 of the family's 1533-position model. Lineage: Bacteria; Pseudomonadati; Pseudomonadota; Gammaproteobacteria; Lysobacterales; Lysobacteraceae. The record is from RNAcentral.
AGUGAACGCUGGCGGCAGGCCUAACACAUGCAAGUCGAACGGCAGCACAGGAGAGCUUGCUCUCUGGGUGGCGAGUGGCGGACGGGUGAGGAUAGCGUCGGAAUCUGCCUUUUUGUGGGGGAUAACGUAGGGAAACUUACGCUAAUACCGCAUACGACCUACGGGUGAAAGUGGGGGACCUUCGGGCCUCACGCAGAAAGAUGAGCCGACGUCGGAUUAGCUAGUUGGUGGGGUAAAGGCCCACCAAGGCGACGAUCCGUAGCUGGUYUGAGAGGAUGAUCAGCCACACUGGGACUGAGACACGGCCCAGACUCCUACGGGAGGCAGCAGUGGGGAAUAUUGGACAAUGGGCGCAAGCCUGAUCCAGCCAUGCCGCGUGUGUGAAGAAGGCCUUCGGGUUGUAAAGCACUUUUGUACGGGAAGAAAAGCGCCGGAUUAAUACUUUGGCGUCAUGACGGUACCGUAAG